UACGGGGGGAGCAAGCGUUGUUCGGAUUUACUGGGCGUAAAGGGCGCGUAGGCGGUCACGACAAGUCAGUUGUGAAAUCUCCGGGCUUAACUCGGAACGGUCAACUGAUACUGUCGGACUAGAGUGCAGAAGGGGCAACUGGAAUUCUCGGUGUAGCGGUGAAAUGCGUAGAGAUGUGGAGGAACACCGAUGGCGAAGGCAGCCUCCUGGGCCAAUACUGACGCUCAUGCACGAAAGCGUGGGGAGCAAACAGG
Molecule: ribosomal RNA, 254 nt
Filed under: uncultured bacterium
Lineage: Bacteria
Description: partial 16S ribosomal RNA
Rfam family: Bacterial small subunit ribosomal RNA
Source: RNAcentral